This 253-nucleotide ribosomal RNA is filed under the name uncultured bacterium. RNAcentral's name for it is "partial 16S ribosomal RNA". It matches the Rfam family "Bacterial small subunit ribosomal RNA", at positions 524 to 776 of the family's 1533-position model. The record is from RNAcentral.
UACGGGGGGGGCAAGCGUUGUUCGGAAUUACUGGGCGUAAAGGGCUCGUAGGUGGCCAACUAAGUCAGACGUGAAAUCCCUCAGCUUAACUGGGGAACUGCGUCUGAUACUGGAUGGCUUGAGUUUGGGAGAGGGAUGCGGAAUUCCAGGUGUAGCGGUGAAAUGCGUAGAUAUCUGGAGGAACACCCGUAGCGAAGGCGGCACUCUGGGCCGGAACUGACGCUGAGGAGCGAAAGCGUGGGGAGCGAACAGG